RNAcentral lists this unclassified non-coding RNA (348 nucleotides) under soil metagenome. Its description in RNAcentral is "partial contains 5.8S ribosomal RNA, internal transcribed spacer 2, and large subunit ribosomal RNA". The stretch from base 1 to 120 matches the Rfam family "5.8S ribosomal RNA", at positions 35 to 154 of the family's 154-position model. The record is from RNAcentral.
GAUGAAGAACGUAGCGAAAUGCGAUAAGUAAUGUGAAUUGCAGAAUUCAGUGAAUCAUCGAAUCUUUGAACGCACAUUGCGCCCGCCAGUAUUCUGGCGGGCAUGCCUGUCUGAGCGUCAUUUCAACCCUCAUGCCCCUAGGGCGUGGUGUUGGGGAUCGGCCAAAGCCCGCGAGGAACGGCCGGCCCCUAAAUCUAGUGGCGGACCCGUCGUGGCCUCCUCUGCGAAGUAGUGAUAUUCCGCAUCGGAGAGCGACGAGCCCCUGCCGUUAAACCCCCAACUUUCCAAGGUUGACCUCAGAUCAGGUAGGAAUACCCGCUGAACUUAAGCAUAUCAAUAAGCGGAGGA